CACAAACAGUUUUUUCCAUGGUUUAAUUCAGUUCAAGUUGAGAAAUGUUGGGUUAAGUCCGGUAACGAGGGCAACCCUUGUCCCUAUUUGCCAGAGAUUCGGUCGGGAACUCUAGGGAGAGAGCCGGGGACAAACCGGAGGAAGGUGGGGACGACGUCAAGUCAUCAUGGCCCUUACGGGUAGGGCUACACACGUGCUACAAUGGCCGGUACAAUGGGUUGCAAAGCGGCGACGUGGAGCUAAUCUCAUAAAGCCGGUCUCAGUCCGGAUCGGAGUCUGCAACUCGACUCCGUGAAGUCGGAAUCGCUAGUAAUCGUGCAUCAGAAUGGCACGGUGAAUACGUUCCCGGGCCUUGUACACACCGCCCGUCACACCAUGGGAGUGGACUGCACCAGAAGUGGUUAGCCUAA
This 410-nucleotide ribosomal RNA is filed under the name uncultured Halomonas sp. RNAcentral's name for it is "bacterial SSU rRNA". It matches the Rfam family "Bacterial small subunit ribosomal RNA", at positions 1029 to 1438 of the family's 1533-position model. Lineage: Bacteria; Pseudomonadati; Pseudomonadota; Gammaproteobacteria; Oceanospirillales; Halomonadaceae. The record is from RNAcentral.